RNAcentral lists this transfer RNA (611 nucleotides) under uncultured Prochlorococcus sp. Its description in RNAcentral is "partial contains 16S ribosomal RNA, 16S-23S ribosomal RNA intergenic spacer, and 23S ribosomal RNA". The stretch from base 225 to 297 matches the Rfam family "tRNA". Lineage: Bacteria; Bacillati; Cyanobacteriota; Cyanophyceae; Synechococcales; Prochlorococcaceae. The record is from RNAcentral.
UGGAUCACCUCCUAACAGGGAGACAACAAAAUGUUUUAUAUUAUUAUUUUGUCACCUUAGGUCGAUCGGUAUCUCACAUCCUCAAUAUUAUUAAGGAUUUCAUUUCCUAAGUUUUUCUAGGUCACACCCAUUUUUCCUGGGCCAUUAGCUCAGGUGGUUAGAGCGCACCCCUGAUAAGGGUGAGGUCCCUGGUUCAAGUCCAGGAUGGCCCAUAUCUCUAUGUUGGGGGUAUAGCUCAGUUGGUAGAGCGCCUGCUUUGCAAGCAGGAUGUCAGCGGUUCGAGUCCGCUUACCUCCACUGAUUACCACCUCUUCCAUAAUCAGUAAGAAGGAAAAAUUUCUGAGUUGUGACCAAAUUCUGAACGAAUCUAGCUUCCUAAUGAAAUCAUUAAGAUGCUGGACUCAUUGAAUUAAUUUCAUUGUUUUCAGAGAACCUUGACAACUGCAUAGAUUAUUUUUUAAAGACAAUAAGCAUCUUUAAUGAUGCAGAUUUAUUAUUUGUGCGAAUGCAUUAAUAACAAUUCUAUUAAGCUGAUGCUUCAAUUUUUGAAGUUAUUGGUCAAGCUACAAAGGGCUCACGGAGGAUACCUAGGCACACAGAGGCGAUGAAGG